This 83-nucleotide small RNA is filed under the name Marmota monax (woodchuck). Lineage: Eukaryota; Metazoa; Chordata; Mammalia; Rodentia; Sciuridae. The record is from RNAcentral.
GCUGGGCAUGGUGGUGCAUGCCUGUAAUCCCAGCAACUCGGGAGACUGAGGUAGGAGGAUCGUGAGCUCAAAGCCAGCCUCAG